ACAACAAUCGGACCGUCGGCCUACUAAGCAAUUACAACCGUUCAGUAGAAGAUCUUCCCUUCAUCGU
RNAcentral lists this microRNA precursor (67 nucleotides) under Bombyx mori (domestic silkworm). RNAcentral's name for it is "mir-2774 microRNA precursor family". It matches the Rfam family "mir-2774 microRNA precursor family". The record is from Rfam by way of RNAcentral. Lineage: Eukaryota; Metazoa; Arthropoda; Insecta; Lepidoptera; Bombycidae.